Molecule: ribosomal RNA, 253 nt
Filed under: uncultured bacterium
Lineage: Bacteria
Description: partial 16S ribosomal RNA
Rfam family: Bacterial small subunit ribosomal RNA
Source: RNAcentral
UACAGAGGAUGCAAGCGUUAUCCGGAAUGAUUGGGCGUAAAGCGUCUGUAGGUGGCCUUUUAAGUCCGCCGUCAAAUCCCAGGGCUCAACUCUGGACAGGCGGUGGAAACUACCAAGCUUGAGUACGGUAGGGGCAGAGGGAAUUUCCGGUGGAGCGGUGAAAUGCGCAGAUAUCAGGAGGAACACCAGCGGCGAAGGCGCCGCUCUGGGCCGUAACUGACGCUGAGGAGCGAAAGCAUGGGUAGCAAACAGG